UGAGGAAUAUUGGGUCAAUGGGGCGAGAGCCUGAACCAGCCAAGUAGCGUGCAGGAUGACGGCCCUACGGGUUGUAAACUGCUUUUGCGGGAGAAUAAAGGUGGCCACGCGUGGCCAUUUGCAGGUAUCCCGUGAAUAAGGACCGGCUAAUUCCGUGCCAGCAGCCGCGGUAAUACGGAAGGUCCGGGCGUUAUCCGGAUUUAUUGGGUUUAAAGGGAGCGUAGGCCGGAGAUUUAAGCGUGUUGUGAAAUGUAGACGCUCAACGUCUGCACUGCAGCGCGAACUGGUUUCCUUGAGUACGCACAAAGUGGGCGGAAUUCG
RNAcentral lists this ribosomal RNA (321 nucleotides) under uncultured Prevotella sp. RNAcentral describes it as "bacterial SSU rRNA". It matches the Rfam family "Bacterial small subunit ribosomal RNA", at positions 355 to 670 of the family's 1533-position model. Lineage: Bacteria; Pseudomonadati; Bacteroidota; Bacteroidia; Bacteroidales; Prevotellaceae. The record is from RNAcentral.